GACGAACGCUGGCGGCGUGCCUAAUACAUGCAAGUCGAGCGGAUGGAUGGGAGCUUGCUCCCUGAAGUCAGCGGCGGACGGGUGAGUAACACGUGGGCAACCUGCCCCUAAGAUCGGGAUAACUUCGGGAAACCGGAGCUAAUACCGGAUAUGAUUAUGUCUCACAUGAGACAUAAUGGAAAGACGGUUUCGGCUGUCACUUAGGGAUGGGCCCGCGGCGCAUUAGCUAGUUGGUGAGGUAACGGCUCACCAAGGCGACGAUGCGUAGCCGACCUGAGAGGGUGAUCGGCCACACUGGGACUGAGACACGGCCCAGACGCCUACGGGUGGCAGCAGUCGAGAAUUUUUGACAAUGGGGGAAACCCUGAUCGAGCGACGCCGCGUGGAGGAUGAAGGUCUUCGGAUUGUAAACUCCUGUCAUUGGGGAACAAGGUGCAUACGUUAACUGCGUGUGCAUUGAUAGUACCCGAAGAGGAAGAGACGGCUAACUCUGUGCCAGCCGCCGCGGUAA
This 511-nucleotide ribosomal RNA is filed under the name uncultured bacterium. RNAcentral describes it as "partial 16S ribosomal RNA". It matches the Rfam family "Bacterial small subunit ribosomal RNA", at positions 28 to 523 of the family's 1533-position model. The record is from RNAcentral.